This 404-nucleotide unclassified non-coding RNA is filed under the name soil metagenome. Its description in RNAcentral is "partial contains 5.8S ribosomal RNA, internal transcribed spacer 2, and large subunit ribosomal RNA". The stretch from base 1 to 121 matches the Rfam family "5.8S ribosomal RNA", at positions 35 to 154 of the family's 154-position model. The record is from RNAcentral.
GAUGAAGAACGCAGCGAAAUGCGAUAAGUAAUGUGAAUUGCAGAAUUCAGUGAAUCAUCGAAUCUUUGAACGCACCUUGUGCCCUUUGGCUAUUCCGAAGGGCAUGCCUGUUUGAGUAUCAUGAACACCUCAACUCUCAUGGUUUGCCAUGAUGAGCUUGGACUUUGGGGGUCUUGCCGGCCUAUGGGUCGGCUCCUCUCAAAUUAAUCAGCUUGCCAGUGUUUGGUGGCAUCACAGGUGUGAUAACUAUCUACGCUUGUGGUUUUCCAUCAGGUAACCUUCAGUGAUGGAGGUUCGCUGGGGCUCAUAAAUGUCUCUCCUCAGUGAGGACAGCUUUUUUGAACGUUUGAUCUCAAAUCAGGUAGGACUACCCGCUGAACUUAAGCAUAUCAAUAAGCGGAGGA